GCCUAUAUGAAGUCGGAAUUGCUAGUAAUCGCGGAUCAGCAUGCCGCGGUGAAUACGUUCCCGGGCCUUGUACACACCGCCCGUCACACCAUGAGAGUCGAUAACACCCGAAGCCUGUAGUCUAACCUUAGGGGGGACGCAGUCGAAGGUGGGAUUGAUAAUUAGGGUGAAGUCGUAACAAGGUAAC
RNAcentral lists this ribosomal RNA (187 nucleotides) under uncultured bacterium. RNAcentral describes it as "partial 16S ribosomal RNA". It matches the Rfam family "Bacterial small subunit ribosomal RNA", at positions 1314 to 1500 of the family's 1533-position model. The record is from RNAcentral.